Molecule: long non-coding RNA, 285 nt
Filed under: Rhinopithecus bieti (black snub-nosed monkey)
Lineage: Eukaryota; Metazoa; Chordata; Mammalia; Primates; Cercopithecidae
Description: lncRNA (ENSRBIG00000046615.1)
Source: RNAcentral
AAGGUAUUUCAUGUGACAUCACAUCACACCAAGGAGACAUGACAGUGGGGACGUGACCACAGCACUAAUCUCACCACACAUCACACCCUCAGAAGCAUCCAGUCCAGAGUAAUGGGACAGCCUGCAAAGAUGCAUCUUCUGCGUCAGCUCAGAGGGUGUUUGCACAGAAUGGCUCCCUCCUCUGCAAAAGUGGGCUUCCUGUUCAGCGACCCUACAUUGAACCCAACCAGUUACUGAUGAACUGAAGACUUCAGCCUUCCCUGCCCUUGAAAAUUUGUGAUGCAG